UUUUGUUUAGCAGGUGUAUUUUAUGAAUAAUAUUUGCCCUAACAUUUAUUUGAUGUUAGAUUUCCCCUCAGUUUUAUAUUUGAAACUUCUAUGUUAAUGGUGUUUUGCCUGCAUGGUUAUCUGUGUGCACCAUGUGCUUGCCUGGUGCAGGCCAGGAAAGGGUAUUGAAUUCCCUGAAAAUGGAGUGAUAGAAGUUAAUGAGCUGCCGUGUUGAUGCUGGAAAUCCAAUCUGCGUCCUUUGGAAGAACAGCCACUGUCCUAACUACUGACCCAUCUCUUCAGCCCCUCUCUUAAUUUUGUGUUUAAGAAACUAUAGCCUCAGCCAAGUGUGAUGGCACACACCUUUAAUCCCAGCACUCAGGGAGGCAGAGGCAGGCAGAUCUCUGUGAGUUUGAGGCCAGCCUGGUCUUGUAGCACAUUCAAGGUCUAUGUAGUAAGUUUAAGUCCAGAGCUACACAGUAUGACUCUGUCUCAGAAGGAGAUUGGAUGCUAUUGAUGGGGUGUGUGUUGGGGGAGUGGAACACAACAGGACUGAGAAGAAAGGCGAGGGGUACAGAUAUGUGCAUUCAUUUACAAUAGCACUUCUCAACAUGUGGGUCUCCCUUGUGGGUGGACCGAUCCUUUCACAGGGUCGCCUAAGGCCGUCGGAAAACACCUAUUUCCUGUGGUCUUAGGAACUGAGAUACACUCCUCUAUCCAUCUCCAGGCAGGUCGGCCCACAUACGAGUACCCGGUGCGAGGGCAUCAUCGGGCCAACCCCAUCAUGUACAUGCAGAUAGAGGUGUGUGUGGUAGGGUUGGCGCCUUGUUGUACUUAUGCGGCCAGUCACACACGUGCAGAGAACAGCUACUGUGCUGAAAGCAGCGGUAUUGGAGAUUCAGCUGUGGUUGACGUGAAUACUGCCCCCUUGUGACAGCAACAGGUAUGGUAAAAAACAAAACAAUGGUAAAUCCUAGGAAACUUGAUGAAUUGUGUUGACCAAACUAUGCCAUUUAUCUUUUGUGUUAGUAAAGCUAUUGUGAUAUCUUAUUUUCAUUAGAAAACUGUCCCAUGACAAUGGAUCACAUAAAGAAAAACAUUAAGAAAAUACAGCGAGGAUUUUUUACUGUAUGGUUUUACUUUAAUAAUUACAACAGGAGUUGAAAAACUACAUGUUAUUUGUUGUGAAAUUCUAUCAGCAGAAUCUAUGAAACCAAACAAACUAAAAUGCCAUUUUGAUAGCAAGCAUUGGAGCUUUGCCAACAGGGGUACCAACUAUUUUAGAAGGAAAGCAGAUGGACUCUAGAAAGCCUUAUCUAGCCAGGCAGUGGCGGCACACACCUGCAAGCCCAGUACUCAGGAGGUAGAGGCAGGUCUAUGUGAGCUUGAGGCCAGCCUGGUCUACACAGAGCUCUAGUGCUAGGACAGCCAAAGCUAUACAAACUGUCUCAAAAAGAAAAUUCAUAUUUGGUGGCACUCAGAAUUGCCAGAGCGAUGAAACAAACCUCAUAUCUUUGCUCACAUCUUUGCGGAUUUCCUGUUGCCAUUGUUGGAGUUAUGAUCAGAGUAGAAUUUGUCACACAGUCGAGUGCAGUACCUUUAUCUAAUGACACUGUCCAUGGAAGAAUAGAUGACCUGGCUGCUGUUAUUCUUGAUCAGGUAGCCCAGGAAAUGAGAUCUGCUCCACUUCCAGCACUUGAGCUUGUUGACGCUACAGACGUUGUAGUUCACAGUUACUGGUUUACAUGGUUAUUGAUGAUGGCGACUUUACAGAUAAACAACACCUAUUGCACACGGUGUGUUUGACACAGUUGAUUCGUUUCUGAAAGCGUGUAAGAUCUCUUGGGAAAUGUUUGUGGUGUUUGCACACAAGGUGCUGCAACUGUGCUAGGAUGUCCAUCUGGAUUUCCCAGUGAGUGAGUCACCAAAAGUCAUCAGAACUCACUGAUUCAUCAGCAGUUCUAGCAGCGAAGAUGCUGCCGUGGGAGUUCCCAGAGGAGAAGUGUCUUUAGGUCUGUCAGUUUUGUAAACAGUUUUAUAAAAGUCGACUGUUUUCUCAGCUGCAAAAGUUAGAUACACUUGGACAAAGCUCUGAUAGUUCAUACUGAAGUGACAUGGCUAUUGAGAGGAAAAGUUUUUGAGCUUUAUGAUAAACUCAGGAUGUUUUUAAAUCAGAAAACAAAACUACAGUUCGAAGCACUUUUCAGCAGUAGUAGUGAAUUGCAGAAAAAUAGCUUACUGGGUUAACAUCUUUGCCAUCUUGAAUGUGUUAAAUUUAUCACUGAUGCAAGGACUAAAUGCAGCAUGCCUUGAUUUGUCUGAAAAGAUCUAAUCGUUCCAAAUGAAAUUUUAGCUUUAGCAAAAAAAAAAAAAAAAAAAAGGAUAAAAAGAAAA
Meriones unguiculatus (Mongolian gerbil) is the source of this 2373-nucleotide long non-coding RNA. RefSeq lists it as uncharacterized. Lineage: Eukaryota; Metazoa; Chordata; Mammalia; Rodentia; Muridae. The record is from RefSeq and is a predicted model, not a curated record. The transcript is spliced from 2 exons.